Molecule: unclassified non-coding RNA, 339 nt
Filed under: soil metagenome
Description: partial contains 5.8S ribosomal RNA, internal transcribed spacer 2, and large subunit ribosomal RNA
Rfam family: 5.8S ribosomal RNA (bases 1-120)
Source: RNAcentral
GAUGAAGAACGUAGCGAAAUGCGAUAACUAAUGUGAAUUGCAGAAUUCAGUGAAUCAUCGAGUCUUUGAACGCACAUUGCGCCCCCUGGUAUUCCGGGGGGCAUGCCUGUCCGAGCGUCAUUGCUGCCCUCAAGCACGGCUUGUGUGUUGGGCUCCGUCCCCCCGGGGACGGGCCCGAAAGGCAGCGGCGGCACCGAGUCCGGUCCUCGAGCGUAUGGGGCUUUGUCACCCGCUCUGUAGGCCCGGCCGGCGCCAGCCGACAACCCAUCAUCCUUUUCAGGUUGACCUCGUAUCAGGUAGGGAUACCCGCUGAACUUAAGCAUAUCAAUAAGCGGAGGA